CUUGUUUUUAUUUUAUAAGUGUCCAUAAAUAAGUAUAUAUAGACAUCAAAAUCUGUCUAUGUGUGUGUAUCAUGUCAUCAGAAUUUUUCUUGCCAGUUUUUACUAAAACCUCUUCCUCCCUAAAACAUACUGAAUUCAAUUAGGUUAUCUCUUAGGUACAAUUUAUACUUAACACUGUGCUUGUACUUGGUUUUCAUAGAAAACUGUUAUCUAAUCCAGUGUUUUUAUUUUAGAUAUAUAGUUGGUGUAUCUUUAUGAGAGCAAGAAAUAGGGCUUUGUGGUUUCUUUCUUUAAGCUUGAUUGUAUUAGUAAAUGAGUAAAAUAUGAUUUCAUUUAGAAAUACUAUGAAACUAGAUUCUGAGAAAAACAUACUGAAAAUAGAGAAGAGUAAAACCUUGAUUAUUCUGUUCUCUACCAUAGCGGCCUUUUAUUUUCUCAUAGGUUACCUUUGUUCAAACCAAGCUAAUACUUGUCAUAAACAGCUGUGUUCUUGUUUCUGUCAUACACCUUUUCUUAAUUGUGUCAUCUUUGAGACACUUACCUCUUUAUCUGAACUUUCAUUAUUUGGACAUCAAAAUGAAAAUUUAGGAAUCACACAGAUUUUGAAAAAAGUUUGAGGUACACUUUGAAUUCUUCAUUAAGCUCUUAAAAACUUAUAAUCUGAAAUUCAUAGAUCAAUUUAAGUUAGAAAUUGUGAUGCUUGUUUCUAUUUUAAUUUUUUCUUCAAUCUAUUAGAGUUGUCUUCCAAAGAAGACUUAUAUUAAAAAAAAACAAAGAUCAGCUUUUGUCUAAUGCCACAAUUUACCAAUUGUUAAGUAUAAAUAUCACUUUACUAAGGAUGUUUACAUGCUCAAUUUUAUGAUUUUGAAAUUCAAAGUUCAUGGACCUUUUGUUUGUGUACCCUAGCAUAAAGCAUAAUCACCUUUUCAUAUGCUUCCU
Molecule: long non-coding RNA, 939 nt
Filed under: Marmota monax (woodchuck)
Lineage: Eukaryota; Metazoa; Chordata; Mammalia; Rodentia; Sciuridae
Source: RNAcentral